RNAcentral lists this ribosomal RNA (499 nucleotides) under uncultured bacterium. RNAcentral describes it as "partial 16S ribosomal RNA". It matches the Rfam family "Bacterial small subunit ribosomal RNA", at positions 28 to 523 of the family's 1533-position model. The record is from RNAcentral.
GAUGAACGCUAGCGGCAGGCUUAAUACAUGCAAGUCGUGGGGCAGCAUGAGUAGCAAUACUUGAUGGCGACCGGCAAACGGGUGCGGAACACGUACACAACCUUCCGAUAAGUGGGGAAUAGCCCAGAGAAAUUUGGAUUAAUACCCCGUAACAUAUAGAGUAGGCAUCUUCUUUAUAUUAUAGCUUCGGCGCUUAUUGAUGGGUGUGCGUCUGAUUAGGUAGUUGGCGGGGUAACGGCCCACCAAGCCUACGAUCAGUAGCUGAUGUGAGAGCAUGAUCAGCCACACGGGCACUGAGACACGGGCCCGACUCCUACGGGAGGCAGCAGUAAGGAAUAUUGGACAAUGGGCGAAAGCCUGAUCCAGCCAUGCCGCGUGAAGGAUUAAGGUCCUCUGGAUUGUAAACUUCUUUUAUUUGGGACGAAAAAAGGGAAUUCUUUCCACUUGACGGUACCAAGUGAAUAAGCACCGGCUAACUCCGUGCCAGCCGCCGCGGUAA